RNAcentral lists this non-coding RNA (123 nucleotides) under Thalassospira sp. HJ. RNAcentral's name for it is "Glycine riboswitch aptamer". It matches the Rfam family "Glycine riboswitch aptamer", at positions 9 to 86 of the family's 94-position model. Rfam says of the family: This family represents the bacterial glycine riboswitch. The record is from Rfam by way of RNAcentral. Lineage: Bacteria; Pseudomonadati; Pseudomonadota; Alphaproteobacteria; Rhodospirillales; Thalassospiraceae. RNAcentral also lists the same sequence under 1 other name.
CUCUGGAGAGAGAAACCAAUAAGCGUCAGGGAGAAGGCGCAUAAAGGUUUCCACCGAAGGAUGAACGCCAUUUGGCCGAUCUUGAUCGGGCACUGACGGAUAAUCUCAGGUCAAGGGACAGAG